Molecule: ribosomal RNA, 375 nt
Filed under: uncultured organism
Description: partial 16S ribosomal RNA
Rfam family: Bacterial small subunit ribosomal RNA
Source: RNAcentral
GAACCGUCUAAACGUUAUUCGGAAUCACUGGGCUUAAAGGGUGCGUAGGCGGCCCGGCAAGUUGGGUGUGAAAUCCCUCGGCUCAACCGAGGAAUUGCGCCCAAAACUGCCGGACUUGAGGGAGACAGAGGUGAGUGGAACUAUGGGUGGAGCGGUGAAAUGCGUUGAUAUCCGUAGGAACACCGGUGGCGAAAGCGGCUCACUGGGUCUCUUCUGACGCUGAGGCACGAAAGCUAGGGGAGCGAACGGGAUUAGAUACCCCGGGUAGUCCUAGCUGUAAACGAUGAGCACUAGAUCGUAGAGAUCUCCAUGUCUUUACGGUCGAACUGAAAAGGUUUAAGUGCUCCGCCUGGGGGAGUAUGGCCCGCAAGGCUG